UCUAAACGAAAUACUCAAUAAUGGCGGUUCAGAAUUUGUCUGUGAAUGUUAGUGGUUGUUUCCUAUCAUCGAUAUUCUAUGAAUUGGUUAGUGGUAACGGCGAUCAGGAUGGAUUUCUGCUGGGAGAAGUUGUCAGUCGAAUCACUGACACCAUCAGUGACUCACAGAUACAGGGAGAAAAAGAAGAGACAUGCUUGAACGUUUAUGAAUUCAUCUCUUGUGACAAAUUGUUCAGCUACUAUAAUUCAAAAGGUCAAAUAGUGCUAGAGCUGUUGGAUGAAAUUCUCAAUGGAAGAAAAAAGGAUGUGAUUGGUUGGUUCAAAUUUCGCCGUAAUUCAAGUCUUUCUAUUUCCAUAAGAGAACGUGCUCUCCAUCAUAACCUGGCUUCAAACUUACCACUGUAUGACAAGUUUUUUAUUUUUGGCCUUUUUUCUGCAUUUGUGUCAACUAAUGACUCCACGUAUAGUUUUGAUCAUGUUUUCCUUCGUUACACAGGCUGGAAGUUUGAGCCUGUGACCCUGAAAGUUGUAAACUUAGGAGACACGAGCCACUCAGAAUAUAGGCUUUACCCAACAACUGCAGCUAAUAUGCAUAGUGGUCAGUUUAGUCAAAUUGUUCGAUCAGCUGGGGCCUCCUGCACCGAGGAAGAUAAAAGUUCUGUCAGACAGGUACAAGGAAUUCAUUCGGCCUUGCAUUCUAAAUUAUGGGAGCUGCAAGAAGAAGUAGGUGAAAGUGAAGCAAUGGUUGCCUCAAUGACACAAGAAAUAGAUGAACUACGGGCUAGAAUAGCUUCUUUAGAGACAAUAAAAGGUGCCUUAGUUACAAACUUUCUUGUUGAGGAAGAAGAGGAAAUCGACAUGUCAGAAAAAGUAAUGUCACCAUUAGUGCCUCAAGAUCCAUUUGAAUUCAUAACAGAUGUAAAACUGCAGAUGGGACAAGAAGCACAAUUAAAAAGAAUGGCAUCAUUAACCAAAAUGGCAUCACAGUCUCAGGAGCAGUUGGAGGAAAUGGUAUCGUCCGAUGAUGCAAUGAAAUAAAAUUUCACAAGAAACACCCUGAGUGAGAAACCAUGAUUAAUGGAGCAAGAAGAGCAAAGUUUGCUAUAUCUGUUGCAGUUAUAAGGUGCUAAAACAAUCACACGAUAAAGAUGUGGAUUGAGAUGUGAGUAUAAAUUGAUUACCUAGGAUGAAUGAUUGAUUCAUACCAACAUCUAACCGAAGUUCUAUUCUAGUCAAAUGUUGUCCAAGUUUUUACUUUGUUUUGAUACUCUUGUUCAUUUACUUUUCAUACAGUCUUGUGAAAUUACUUCUUUUUACAGUGAUUUACUAUUGUAGUUUAGAAAAUAUUUUUUAUUUUUUGCUUCAAAAAGAUCAUUGAAACCAUUUCAUUAUGGUUAAAACUUAAUGUUACUGGGAAAAAAAUAACAUUUCAACUCUUUGCUUUAGAUUAUUUUAAGAAAUGUUGUUGUAGGAAAUAUAUUAUUAUUAUUUCUUUUUGAGAAAUUGCUAAACUUUCUCACUAAUACCAUUCUCAAAAUGUAUUGUGGGUUAUUUUUGAAGUAAUACCUAUAUCAUUCUGAAAGUUUGUUGUGGAUUACCAUUCUGAAAACUGUAUUGUGGGUUAUUGUUUAAAGGUUUACUGUUGUGGAUUAUUGUUGAAAAAUUACCCAUACCAUUCUGAAAAGUGUACUAUGGAUUGUUGUUGAAACGUUAGCCAUACUAUUCUGAAAGUGUUAUUUUGUAUUAUUAUUAAAACUUGAAUGCUAUUUUGAUACAAAUCCAAUGACUUCAAAAUUUAGUAUCGAUAAUUGUUUACUUAAAUGUUGUAUACUAAUGUGUAUUGUAUAAUAUAAGCAUGUGUUUUAUAAUGUAUACUCAAUAUCAGUAGUAAUAUUUUGGUUUGAACUAUAAUAUGAAUGUUAAGAAGUUGGUUUACAAGUACAUGAGAAACAAAAUUGAAAAUGUUUUGUUUUUUUUCACCAAACAUUAAUUUCUUUUUAUGCAAAAAAUUAUAUUUAAAACCCCUUUUUGUUAUGUUAAACUAAACAGUUUUGGUCAGUAUCUAUUUCAUUGAUUUUUGUACUUCUCUCAGUAACUGAUAAGAAAGAAAGAAAACAUUAAACAUCAGCUACAGCUUUAAACUCCUGAAUUCCUGCAAUAUGAGAUAUCUAGCAGUGAGGAAAAAAAAAAGACUUGUGAAAUGCUUUCUUCAUAACAUGCCUUUGGUUUGAUUUAGUUCAGGGUUACUGAAAAGUGCUGGUAUUUUAGACCUGAGUGAAACAAAACAAAAGAUAAACCAAAUACUCUCUCACGAGUAAUUUAUGUAGAAAACAUCGUUAAGUAAUAAAGUACUGUAGAUAUCCUUUAUUCCAUUAUGUAGUUUUUGUGUGACUGUAAGCAUGAAAUGUUAUCAGUGAUGCAUCUAAUGUGUGUAUUAAGUUGUUUCAUUGUCUGAAUGUAUUUCAUGUUUGAAAGCCUCAAACUAAGUUUAUUAUCUAUUGGUUUUUAGUCAACUGUGCAUUUUAUCAGUAAAAAAAUAUUCAUUCUGUAAACAAAAGUUGAAUCAGUUUAAUUACUGUUUUAAUAUCUAUAUUACUAGUAAUUGUUAAUGAUACCAGGAUACCUGUAAUGUUACCCAGCAUGACAAGAGAGUAGUUGCAUAAAAACUCAUUAAUGUUAGCUGGAAGUGUUAUGAGGGAGAACUUUCAUUUAUACAUGAAGUUUGUGUGAAAGACCUUAAAAAAUUAAAAUAAACAUACAGAAAUAUUAUUGACAAGAACUGUCUGGGAUUUUUUUUUAGUUGUGAUGAUGUUUUGGAUUCUAUGCUGGAAUUAUUUUCAGGUCUAGAAGAACACUUUAACACAUGUAAGGUAAUGAAACAUUGCUAAAGUGAGAAAUCUCCAGGCAGUGUCUGUUCAUACUUCACUGACCCAAAAUUAUUUAAAGCAAAACUGAAACAUGUUUGGGUUAGGUAGCUGAUGGUUGGUAAUAAACACUAUCUUGUAAAGAAUGUACAUCAAGUUUCCAUUAGGAUACCAUGAACAAACAAGGGUUCCAAGUCUGAGUAAAUCCAUAUGAACAUCUUAUUGCAAGACACUCCUUACUGUACAGCACACCAAUUUUUGAAAAUGAUUUAACAUUAUCCGGUGUAAUAUCCAAAAUGAUUAAUAAUAAUGUAAUUUCACUCACUAACAUUUUAUUUUGUUCGAGGAAAUUGUUAAUAUAAAUAUCAUCCAACUAUUUGAAAAGUAAUUGGUAUAUUCAUGACCUUCUAGUUAUUUUUGGGUGUAAGGAAAUCUAAAUACUUCCCUCUGUAUUCUUUAAAGGUCUUCAGUGGAUGUGGAGUUAUCACAUAGAGUAUAUGUUCUGUAUGUGAUGCACUCAGAACAAAACAGGAUGUAUUAUGGGAAGAUUCUGAUCCAGCUGAACUUUCCUUGUAAGGGUUUUGUUGCAUGUGAUUUGGGGAUUUGAACGUCACCUUUACUGAUGUUAAUUUUGCAGAAGUUAGUCAUCAAUAUUUUUAUAAGACUGUAUUUUGUAAAUAAUUUGCUUAAAGAUAAUAAACUUGAAUCAUUUUACGUUU
RNAcentral lists this unclassified non-coding RNA (3582 nucleotides) under Limulus polyphemus (Atlantic horseshoe crab). RNAcentral describes it as "bRISC complex subunit Abraxas 2-like, transcript variant X1". The record is from RNAcentral. Lineage: Eukaryota; Metazoa; Arthropoda; Merostomata; Xiphosura; Limulidae.